Molecule: ribosomal RNA, 1100 nt
Filed under: Pseudomonas sp. An30H-SC-S
Lineage: Bacteria; Pseudomonadati; Pseudomonadota; Gammaproteobacteria; Pseudomonadales; Pseudomonadaceae
Description: bacterial SSU rRNA
Rfam family: Bacterial small subunit ribosomal RNA
Source: RNAcentral
CCUGGCUUCAGAUGAACGCUGACAGAAUGCUUAACACAUGCAAGUCGACUGGAAUUCACCUUCGGGUGAUAGUACGGUGGCGGACGGGUGAGUAACGCGUAAAGAACUUGCCCUCUAGACUGGGACAACUGUUGGAAACGACAGCUAAUACCGGAUAUUAUGAGAACCUCGCAUGGGGAACUUAUGAAAGGCUAUAUGCGCUAGAGGAGAGCUUUGCGUGCCAUUAGGUAGUUGGUAGGGUAAUGGCCUACCAAGCCGACGAUGGCUAGCCGGCCUGAGAGGGUGAUCGGCCACAAGGGGACUGAGACACGGCCCUUACUCCUACGGGAGGCAGCAGUGGGGAAUAUUGGACAAUGGGCCACAAGCCUGAUCCAGCAAUUCUGUGUGCACGAUGAAGGUCUUCGGAUCGUAAAGUGCUUUCAGUAGGGAAGAAAAAAAUGACGGUACCUACAGAAGAAGCGACGGCUAAAUACGUGCCAGCAGCCGCGGUAAUACGUAUGUCGCAAGCGUUAUCCGGAAUUAUUGGGCGUAAAGCGCGUCUAGGCGGUCUUUUAAGUCUGAUGUUAAAAUGCGGGGCUCAACUCCGUAUUGCGUUGGAAACUGGAAGACUAGAGUAUCAGAGAGGUGGGCGGAACUACAAGUGUAGAGGUGAAAUUCGUAGAUAUUUGUAGGAAUGCCGAUUGGGAAGCCAGCUCACUGGAUGAAUACUGACGCUGAAGCGCGAAAGCGUGGGGAGCAAACGGGAUUAGAUACCCCGGUAGUCCACGCCGUAAACGAUGAUCACUAAGUGUGGGGGGUCGAACCUCCGUGCUCAAGCUAACGCGAUAAGUGAUCCGCCUGGGGAGUACGCACGCAAGUGUGAAACUCAAAGGAAUUGACGGGGACCCGCACAAGCGGUGGAGCAUGUGGUUUAAUUCGACGCAACGCGAGGAACCUUACCAGCCCUUGACAUCCUCAGAACUUAGCAGAGAUGCUUUGGUGCCACUUCGGUGGAACUGAGUGACAGGUGGUGCAUGGCUGUCGUCAGCUCGUGUCGUGAGAUGUUGGGUUAAGUCCCGCAACGAGCGCAACCCUUUCGUAUGUUACCAUCAUUAAGUUGG